This is an RNA transcript of Rosa chinensis, 1712 nucleotides long. RefSeq lists it as uncharacterized. NCBI's taxonomy places the organism in Eukaryota, Viridiplantae, Streptophyta, Magnoliopsida, Rosales, Rosaceae. The transcript is spliced from 7 exons. The record is from RefSeq and is a predicted model, not a curated record.
ACACAAACUGUUAACGGAGAGAGAGAGGGAGAGAGAGAUGUUGAAGCCUUUGAUUUUACAAGUUGCAGUGAAUAUGAGUGAGUGAAUUACAGUAGGUUUUGUUAGGGUUUUUGCCACUCACAGUUUUUGGCACUGAAACUUCGUCUCCAAGGUAAGUCUUCAACAUGAACUGUGGAGGAAAUGAGGACUUGGAAUAUCGAGCAUCGGCUGUAGGUGACGUGAAUGCAAAUUAUGUUACCGCUUUGCCCCCUAUGAGUCGUUGGUAUGGUCAGAUUUCUGCUCCUGCCGAUAUCAUAAGUAGAGAUGGCGCAAAGGAACAAAUGGUGUGCAACAACCAGAUGAAUUCGGAAGAUUUUUCUGGUUAUAUUUUUAUGUGUAAUGGACGAACAAAACCAGAAUGCUAUAUGUACCGAGUUUUCGGACUUCCUGCUGGAAGAAGGGAAGUUAUUGAGAAGAUUAAGCCAGGGAUGAAGCUAUUUCUGUUUGACUAUGAGGUGAAGUAUCUUUAUGGGGUAUACGAAGCAACCACUGCUGGAAAAUUGAACUGGGACACAGCUGCUUUUGGUGGGAACUUCCCUGCACAGGUGAGAUUCCAUAUCUACAAGGAAUGUCUUCCUCUGCCAGAGAGUUGUUUCAAACAUGCUAUUCGAGAUAACUACCAGACAGGCUCCAAAAAAUUUAAUCCAAUUCUCAGUAGCCAACAAGUAAGUCAUCUAGUAUCAAUGUUCAAUCCUCUUACAAAGCCGUCAUCUGCUAAAUAUGACCAUUACCCUGUAAAGAAUCAAUUUCAAUCCCAUUCAAGGCUUCCUCCUCCAAGUUAUCCAUACUUUAACUUGAUAAACACCAGUCAUACUCCAAAAGCGUCACUGCCUCCAAGCUAUUCUUCCAUGUAUGGCAGACUUACUUCACCAGCCUUGGAGCCUCAGUGUACUCAAACGAGUGUCCUGCAGCCAGAACAUGUUGGUUAUGGAUAUGCACCACAGAUGGGCUACAUUAAUCCUGCAGUGCAACCGCAAGCCAAUUCAGCUCCAUAUCAGACAUCUUAUACUGUAGAAGCUGGGCAGCCGUACUUGCAUGGAGUACCCAAAUCAUAUGAAAGGUAUGAGGCUGCUGCACAGGCUAUGGUUCCUACUCAUCAAUACACUGACUGGAGAUAUGAGUACAAUCAGUUACCGUCACAGACCCAUAUGCAGAUGCAGGAGAAUGCUGCUCAACACCAGAGUCUCUAUCAAGUGCCUGCAGCCCAUCAUGUUACACAGCCUAUACAACAACACGCAUCGAGAUUCGAAGAGCCUGGGCCUGCUGUGAGGACUCUUCCCAUUAGAUCAUCAAAUACCUGGACUCUGCAAAUUUAAACUGGCAAGAUGAUGCGUAGAUUAGCUUUGAGUGAUGCUGCAGCAUUUCACUUGAUCGAAAUCAUAGUACUCAUUUGAACUGGAUUUCAAGUCUUUACUUGAAUUAUUAAAGAGCUGGAAAAGAGGCGUUGAAGUGGGCCAGAAAGACUUGUGCAGUCGUCAAUGAGAUUUUUUUUUUCUUUUCGUUUUUGUUUGGGCCAGUUGUUUAGUUUAAUGCUCUAUCUUUUUAAGGACUCUAGCACUAAGUCUAUAUAAUCAUCAUAUCUUGUUCUGCUUUUAUGGGGUUAGUAGUGAGCAGGUAUCCAAUAACAGCAUAUUAUGCUACCUAAACAGGCAUGCAUGGCCCUUUUCACUUUA